Molecule: unclassified non-coding RNA, 348 nt
Filed under: soil metagenome
Description: partial contains 5.8S ribosomal RNA, internal transcribed spacer 2, and large subunit ribosomal RNA
Rfam family: 5.8S ribosomal RNA (bases 1-120)
Source: RNAcentral
GAUGAAGAACGUAGCGAAAUGCGAUAAGUAAUGUGAAUUGCAGAAUUCCGUGAAUCAUCGAAUCUUUGAACGCACAUUGCGCCCUCUGGUAUUCCGGGGGGCAUGCCUGUUCGAGCGUCAUUAUCACCCCUCAAGCCCCGGCUUGGUGUUGGGCUCUCGGUGGUCGUCUCCGACCACCCGUCUCAAAGAUAGUGACGGCGUCCCAGAGGGAACCGGUACGAGGAGCUUUCACGAGCAUGUACGCGGGACGACUCUGCGGGCGACGGUCUUAUUUACUUUAUAUACAAGUGUUGACCUCGGAUCAGGUAGGAAUACCCGCUGAACUUAAGCAUAUCAAUAAGCGGAGGA